Molecule: ribosomal RNA, 253 nt
Filed under: uncultured bacterium
Lineage: Bacteria
Description: partial 16S ribosomal RNA
Rfam family: Bacterial small subunit ribosomal RNA
Source: RNAcentral
UACAGAGGGUGCAAGCGUUAACCGGAAUUACUGGGCGUAAAGCGCGCGUAGGUGGUUUGUUAAGUUGGAUGUGAAAGCCCCGGGCUCAAUCUGGGAACUGCAUCCAAAACUGGCAAGCUAGAGUACGGUAGAGGGUGGUGGAAUUUCCUGUGUAGCGGUGAAAUGCGUAGAUAUAGGAAGGAACACCAGUGGCGAAGGCGACCACCUGGACUGAUACUGACACUGAGGUGCGAAAGCGUGGGGAGCAAACAGG